UUCCGGUUGAUCCUGCCGGACCCGACUGCUAUUUGGGUGAGGAUAAGCCAUGCGAGUUGAAUGGGAAACCUAAAAAUCCCAUGGCAAACUGCUCAGUAACACAUGAUCAACUUGCCCUAUAGAGGAAAAUAACCUCGGGAAACUGAGGAUAAUGUUCCAUAGUUGAAUCGGCUUGGAAAAGUUUUUCAAUAAAAGGGAUAAGGAAAAUGGUCCUUACCUGCUAUAGGAUAGGAUCGUGCUCGAUUAUGGUUGUUGGUGAGGUAAAGGCUCACCAAGCCGAUAAUCGAUAGGGGCCGUGAGAGCGGGAGCCCCGAGAUGGGUACUGAGACAACGACCCAGGCCUUAUGAGGCGCAGCAGGCGCGAAACCUCCGCAAUACACGAAAGUGUGACGGGGUUACCCAAAGUGUUCUAUUUAGAACUGUGGUAGGUGAGUAAUGUUCCCUACUAGAAAGGAGAGGGCAAGGCUGGUGCCAGCCGCCGCGGUAAAACCAGCUCUUCAAGUGGUCGGGAUAAUUAUUGGGCUUAAAGUGUCCGUAGCCGGUUUAGUAAGUUCCUGGUAAAAUCGGGUAGCUUAACUAUCUAUAUGCUAGGAAUACUGCUAUACUAGAGGGCGGGAGAGGUCUGAGGUACUACAGGGGUAGGGGUGAAAUCUUAUAAUCCUUGUAGGACCACCAGUGGCGAAGGCGUCAGACUGGAACGCGCCUGACGGUGAGGGACGAAAGCCAGGGGAGCGAACCGGAUUAGAUACCCGGGUAGUCCUGGCCGUAAACGAUGCAUACUAGGUGAUGGCACGGCCAUGAGCCGUGUCAGUGCCGUAGGGAAACCGUUAAGUGUGCCGCCUGGGAAGUACGGUCGCAAGGCUAAAACUUAAAGGAAUUGGCGGGGGAGCACCACAAGGGGUGAAGCCUGCGGUUCAAUUGGAUUCAACGCCGGG
This 935-nucleotide ribosomal RNA is filed under the name uncultured archaeon. RNAcentral describes it as "bacterial SSU rRNA". It matches the Rfam family "Archaeal small subunit ribosomal RNA", at positions 1 to 922 of the family's 1478-position model. The record is from RNAcentral.